Long non-coding RNA from Folsomia candida, 461 nucleotides. RefSeq lists it as uncharacterized. Lineage: Eukaryota; Metazoa; Arthropoda; Collembola; Entomobryomorpha; Isotomidae. The transcript has 3 exons. The record is from RefSeq and is a predicted model, not a curated record.
GAAACUUUUGCAAGAGGGUCUGCAAGACAAAUGCAACAUGUGCCGCCCUACGUGCACAGAUAUCGAAUUUAGGAUGACUACAAGUUUUAUGCCAAUCCGGGAAGACAUUCCUCUUUGGGAGUACACUAACAAAACCAAUGCCUCAUGGUCAGUUUUUGUAGAAGAAAUUUAAACAAUGCAAUUUAAUUUUAACGAUUUUUUCAGGGUAAAUAAAAAUGUAUCAAUCCUUCACGUUCAUUACUUAACGGACUCCACAUACCCAAAACAAAGAAAAGAGUUGUACGGAUUUAUCGACUUGCUUUCAAAUACUGGUGGACUUCUCGGGCUAUGUAUGGGGUUUAGUGUUCUCAGCAUCUUGGAGAUAAUUUACUUUGUCACUCUCCGCCUUUACUGCCAGUCACGGUCAGGAAGAAGAAUGGGACACAGAAUGACCGAAGGAGCAAAGCAAUCGUGGUGGAGAU